UCAGCAGUGUGUUGGGGCCAUUCCGGU
Molecule: non-coding RNA, 27 nt
Filed under: Rattus norvegicus (Norway rat)
Lineage: Eukaryota; Metazoa; Chordata; Mammalia; Rodentia; Muridae
Source: RNAcentral